CAUGUUUUGCGGCCAAUUUCACGUGGGACAAACUUGUUGAUUCAGGAUCAUCUCAUUUUGUCCGUUAAGUUAUCGGAUCUCAAUUUACGUUUUUUAGACUAAUAUUAGUUAAGUUUUCGGUAUAAAAUGUGUCUUCAUUUGUGUUACGUUGUUCUCGAAAAGCAGGGAGAUGUCAAAUAUAUUCAAGAUUGACGUUUCGCAAAAUCAACGAUGAAGUACAUCCACAUUAAUAAGUGCGAGAUAAUAUGGAAGAAAACAAAGAUAUAUGCAUAUUUGUUGUCAAAAAUAUGUGCAAUAAAUGCAUCUAAAAUUAUUUUUGGAAAAAAGCGGCGGUGGAUUCACGAGCAUGGAGGAUGCAUCCUUUUCGUUUAGCCAUAGCCGCGUUUAUUAACGUGUUACGUAAACCUGGGGAGACAUAUAGAGACAGACGGAGGGAAAAUCUUCUCGGUAUUUAAUUAUUUUUUUCUCUGAAAUCUCGCGUGAACGGAAACUAGAGAAGUAGCACAAUCACUGAACCGGUUCCCAGGUGUCCAAAAAGACAAAAAUUAAGAGGAGGCAAAUCCGAUUAAAUGGCAAAAGGAAGAGGAAGAAGAAGAGGUGGUAAGAGGAAGAAGGAAGAAAAUGUGCGGGGAACGUGAAAUCGGAGAAAUGAGAAAUUCGUUCCCGCUACUCACCAGGAAUGCCCUCAUGGUUGCUGCCGUUCCUUGAUUUGAGGACUGAUGCUCCGCGGAUGUCUUGAAGCCCCCUUUUAUACGGGCCAGCCUGGGCCCCACUCGAUGCCUCGACCCAUCACCUAUGAGAUGCGACGGAGCUAUUGCAAAUCGCUCUCUCUCUCUUUCUCCCUCUUUCUUUUCUCCGGCUCUUGCUUGCUCGUGAGAAGACGGACCCGUGUGCGCAUCUCUCACACAAAUUUGUCUCUGUACUUUCGUUCAAAUUCAGCCAUUCGAUCCGGAUAGGAUCGAUUAUGAUGCGCGCGCGGCUCCGUCAGGUAUAACGUUCAUUUCAAUGACAAAUGAGCGUGAAAAAUGCGCUCCCUCUCUCAUAAGACACUUUAUUAUACAAGUAAUCGUAAGAUCUUUGUAUCUAGUUGCGCCUCUUUUUUUAAGCGCGAUAUAUCUUAAUGACUGGCAAAAAGACCGAGUCUUUUCGACGAAGCAUUCACGCUAUUGAUUGAGAUGUUUCUAUUAAUUUUAAUGAUUGCACGAUGUUCUUGUAUGCAAAUUUUUAUACGUGAAAUAUGGUCUUGUAUAUAAACGCGUCAUUGUCAACAGAGAAUGAUAUAUACACGCCUUUAAGAUUAAAUAUUGCAUACAUAAAUGUAGAUUUUAUCGAGUGUCAGAGAUUUUUUAAACUCGCGAUCGACGAAUUCUUGAUGAAAUUUCGCGCGGUCACUAUAAAACUUUUGCGCAAGAUAUUUCAUAAUACUUUGUAGAUACUUAAAGAAGAAUUAUAUAUACACGAUAUGUUAAAUAUAUACUGCGGUUUACCAUUUUGGUCCAUAAAAGAAUUUCAAUCCGUUUUCUACAGCUUCGUAAAUAUAUACAGUCAAUAUUCGCCACCUACGAAAGCAUCGAUUUCAAAUUCUCGCAGUUAGGUAAAUAUCGAAUUAUUAUCAAUCGGGAAUAUUAUUAAAUAAAAAUAUGUUAGUUUUUCACCAUACGAAUGUGAUUUCAUAUAAUUUUCACGUGACAUAUAGAAUAUGUCGAUAUGUGAACGAUGACGAUAGUGCGAUAUUAUUGUAAAUGUCAGUUUACGCAACUCCAAUCGUGGGAAAAAAUUGAAAUUGUUAUGAAACAAUUAAAAAUUUAUUAUAGCUGCACGUGUUAUUACCUUAAAAGCGUCGGCGUUUCGAUACAUCUUGUAGAAAGUGCACUCGGUACGUUUAACAGCUGCUCCACGAAUGCUCGGCUGGAUCAAUUUCGUUCGAUUAUGUUAUAUUAUACGUAUAAAGAAAAAUUUGUAUAUAAUUUUAUUUUAUUUCCCGCGACGUGGAAAAAUGUCCUCUUGCAACCCCCCAAUUCGCGAAAAAUUUAAAAACAAAAAAAAAGUUGUUGAAAAAUU
This is a long non-coding RNA of Nylanderia fulva, 2061 nucleotides long. RefSeq lists it as uncharacterized. The record is from RefSeq and is a predicted model, not a curated record. NCBI's taxonomy places the organism in Eukaryota, Metazoa, Arthropoda, Insecta, Hymenoptera, Formicidae.